This 321-nucleotide ribosomal RNA is filed under the name Bacillus sp. OK048. RNAcentral's name for it is "bacterial SSU rRNA". It matches the Rfam family "Bacterial small subunit ribosomal RNA", at positions 1 to 310 of the family's 1533-position model. The record is from RNAcentral. Lineage: Bacteria; Bacillati; Bacillota; Bacilli; Caryophanales; Bacillaceae.
CUUUCUUGGAGAGUUUGAUCCUGGCUCAGGACGAACGCUGGCGGCGUGCCUAAUACAUGCAAGUCGAGCGAAUCUUGAGGUGCUUGCACCUCUUGAUUAGCGGCGGACGGGUGAGUAACACGUGGGCAACCUGCCUGUAAGACUGGGAUAACACCGGGAAACCGGUGCUAAUACCGGAUAACUCUUUUCCUCUCAUGGGGAAAAGCUGAAAGUCGGUUUCGGCUGACACUUACAGAUGGGCCCGCGGCGCAUUAGCUAGUUGGUGAGGUAACGGCUCACCAAGGCGACGAUGCGUAGCCGACCUGAGAGGGUGAUCGGCCA